RNAcentral lists this long non-coding RNA (350 nucleotides) under Meriones unguiculatus (Mongolian gerbil). Its description in RNAcentral is "lncRNA (ENSMUGG00000026820.1)". Lineage: Eukaryota; Metazoa; Chordata; Mammalia; Rodentia; Muridae. The record is from RNAcentral.
CCUCAGUCGACCAGCGGACCGUCGGUGCUGCACUCCGAGGCAGACAGAACGCCACGCCUGGCUGCCUCCUCCUGUGACUGCGGGAAAGCGAGAGAGACCCUGGUCUCUGCUGACCCCACCUUGGCACCUAGCCCUGGACAGAGCAACUGAAGCCUCCUCUGCAAGGCAGCCCUACCCUGAAGGCCGCUGGAAGGAAGGUAGCUCUCCAGCCAGCUGCCCUCCCAGCAGAGUUUCAGAUUUGGAUCCUGAGGCUGGGAUCCCCAGGACGACACCUGGCUACCUAGGCCCAUGUGGCCAUCACCGAUGUGCCCUUCUGGCUGCUGGCUGCAGUGCUGUUCAGUUACAGGGUG